UACGAAGGGGGCUAGCGUUGCUCGGAAUCACUGGGCGUAAAGCGUAUGUAGGCGGAUUGUUAAGUCAGGGGUGAAAUCCCGAGGCUCAACCUCGGAACUGCCUUUGAUACUGGCUUUCUUGAGUUCGGGAGAGGUGAGUGGAACUCCUAGUGUAGAGGUGAAAUUCGUAGAUAUUAGGAAGAACACCAGUGGCGAAGGCGGUUCUCUGGGCAUGAUCUGACGCUGAGGAGCGAAAGUGUGGGGAGCGAACAGG
Molecule: ribosomal RNA, 253 nt
Filed under: uncultured bacterium
Lineage: Bacteria
Description: partial 16S ribosomal RNA
Rfam family: Bacterial small subunit ribosomal RNA
Source: RNAcentral